This is a non-coding RNA of Rattus norvegicus (Norway rat), 69 nucleotides long. The record is from Rfam. NCBI's taxonomy places the organism in Eukaryota, Metazoa, Chordata, Mammalia, Rodentia, Muridae.
GGGGAUUUAGCUCAGUGGUAGAGCGCUUGCCUAGCAAGCGCAAGGCCCUGGGUUCGGUUCCCAGCUCCG